CACGGAGGGUGCAAGCGUUAUUCGGAAUUAUUGGGCGUAAAGGGCGCGUAGGCGGCCGAUCAGGUCAGAUGUGAAAGCCCGGGGCUUAACCCCGGAAGUGCAUUUGAAACCGGUUGGCUUGAGUAUGGGAGAGGAGAGCGGAAUUCCUGGUGUAGAGGUGAAAUUCGUAGAUAUCAGGAGGAACACCGGUGGCGAAGGCGGCUCUCUGGACCAAUACUGACGCUGAGGCGCGAAGGCGUGGGUAGCAAACAGG
This 253-nucleotide ribosomal RNA is filed under the name uncultured bacterium. Its description in RNAcentral is "partial 16S ribosomal RNA". It matches the Rfam family "Bacterial small subunit ribosomal RNA", at positions 524 to 776 of the family's 1533-position model. The record is from RNAcentral.